GGAUAACUACUGGAAACGGUGGCUAAUACCGCAUAACGUCGCAAGACCAAAGAGGGGGACCUUCGGGCCUCUUGCCAUCAGAUGUGCCCAGAUGGGAUUAGCUUGUUGGUGAGGUAACGGCUCACCAAGGCGACGAUCCCUAGCUGGUCUGAGAGGAUGACCAGCCACACUGGAACUGAGACACGGUCCAGACUCCUACGGGAGGCAGCAGUGGGGAAUAUUGCACAAUGGGCGCAAGCCUGAUGCAGCCAUGCCGCGUGUAUGAAGAAGGCCUUCGGGUUGUAAAGUACUUUCAGCGGGGAGGAAGGUGUUGUGGUUAAUAACCGCAGCAAUUGACGUUACCCGCAGAAGAAGCACCGGCUAACUCCGUGCCAGCAGCCGCGGUAAUACGGAGGGUGCAAGCGUUAAUCGGAAUUACUGGGCGUAAAGCGCACGCAGGCGGUCUGUCAAGUCGGAUGUGAAAUCCCCGGGCUCAACCUGGGAACUGCAUUCGAAACUGGCAGGCUUGAGUCUUGUAGAGGGGGGUAGAAUUCCAGGUGUAGCGGUGAAAUGCGUAGAGAUCUGGAGGAAUACCGGUGGCGAAGGCGGCCCCCUGGACAAAGACUGACGCUCAGGUGCGAAAGCGUGGGGAGCAAACAGGAUUAGAUACCCUGGUAGUCCACGCCGUAAACGAUGUCUACUUGGAGGUUGUGCCCUUGAGGCGUGGCUUCCGGAGCUAACGCGUUAAGUAGACCGCCUGGGGAGUACGGCCGCAAGGUUAAAACUCAAAUGAAUUGACGGGGGCCCGCACAAGCGGUGGAGCAUGUGGUUUAAUUCGAUGCAACGCGAAGAACCUUACCUGGUCUUGACAUCCACAGAAGAAUCCAGAGAUGGAUUUGUGCCUUCGGGAACUGUGAGACAGGUGCUGCAUGGCUGUCGUCAGCUCGUGUUGUGAAAUGUUGGGUUAAGUCCCGCAACGAGCGCAACCCUUAUCCUUUGUUGCCAGCGGUUAGGCCGGGAACUCAAAGGAGACUGCCAGUGAUAAACUGGAGGAAGGUGGGGAUGACGUCAAGUCAUCAUGGCCCUUACGACCAGGGCUACACACGUGCUACAAUGGCGCAUACAAAGAGAAGCGACCUCGCGAGAGCAAGCGGACCUCAUAAAGUGCGUCGUAGUCCGGAUUGGAGUCUGCAACUCGACUCCAUGAAGUCGGAAUCGCUAGUAAUCGUGGAUCAGAAUGCCACGGUGAAUACGUUCCCGGGCCUUGUACACACCGCCCGUCACACCAUGGGAGUGGGUUGCAAAAGAAGUAGGUAGCUUAACCUUCGGGAGGGCGCUUACCACUUUGUGAUUCAUGACUGGGGUGAAGUCGUAACAAGGUAACCGUAGGGGAACCUGCGGUUGGAUCACCUCCUUACCUUAAAGAAGC
This 1408-nucleotide ribosomal RNA is filed under the name Salmonella enterica subsp. enterica serovar 4,[5],12:i:-. RNAcentral's name for it is "bacterial SSU rRNA". It matches the Rfam family "Bacterial small subunit ribosomal RNA". Lineage: Bacteria; Pseudomonadati; Pseudomonadota; Gammaproteobacteria; Enterobacterales; Enterobacteriaceae. The record is from RNAcentral.